Molecule: ribosomal RNA, 301 nt
Filed under: uncultured bacterium
Lineage: Bacteria
Description: partial 16S ribosomal RNA
Rfam family: Bacterial small subunit ribosomal RNA
Source: RNAcentral
CAGUAGCCACGGGAAUACCGAGGGUGCAAGCGUUAAUCGGAAUUACUGGGCGUAAAGCGCGCGUAGGUGGUUUGUUAAGUUGGAUGUGAAAUCCCCGGGCUCAACCUGGGAACUGCAUCCAAAACUGGCAAGCUAGAGUAUGGUAGAGGGUGGUGGAAUUUCCUGUGUAGCGGUGAAAUGCGUAGAUAUAGGAAGGAACACCAGUGGCGAAGGCGACCACCUGGACUGAUACUGACACUGAGGUGCGAAAGCGUGGGGAGCAAACAGGAUUAGAUACCCGUGUAGUCCCUGUCUCUUAUAC